Cucurbita moschata (crookneck pumpkin) is the source of this 608-nucleotide long non-coding RNA. RefSeq lists it as uncharacterized. NCBI's taxonomy places the organism in Eukaryota, Viridiplantae, Streptophyta, Magnoliopsida, Cucurbitales, Cucurbitaceae. The transcript has 2 exons. The record is from RefSeq and is a predicted model, not a curated record.
CUGAAAUUAGGGUUACAAAUUCGUCGCCGCAAAACCCUUGGCCUCCUCCGCCUCCAUAAAUAUCCACCGACGUUCUUCAUCUUCCUCACCUUUCUGUAGAUGAAUUCGUCUAUAGUUCUAAAUUCUCCGAUAUUCGUCCCAGCAGUUUCUUUUCGUAUGGUUUCAGUUUGUAUGUUUAGGGUUUAAUUUUGGCUAUUGAAGUUCAUCUGUGUAUAUUCCGAUGAAGAAGCUCUCCCAAAAUUGAUAGGAAGUGCCGUAUGACACUCCAAACCGCAGUGAGAAGCCAUUGAUACGACUGUUGGCUCCCAUCAGGCAGUGAACACCGACGCCGAUUCGUUUCUACCCUGGGGCGGUCUGGUUGUUGGAUCGUUUUGCUGUCCGGGAAUUCUCAGUCGUUUUCCGUGAUUCUCCUGUGUGGUUGAUUUGAAACGGGUCUCUGAGGAUUUUGAGGGGUAAUGAUCAAGACAACAGUAGUCGGCAUUGUUAGUACUUAAUUUGACUCAACACAACAAACGGAGAGGUCUUGAUUCUAUGGAUUAGAUCGAUUAGAUACAGGAAGGAUUGGAUAUAGUAAGGAUUGAUAGAUUGAUGUAGCACUUAUCCUCAAA